This 1959-nucleotide ribosomal RNA is filed under the name Pseudomonas aeruginosa. RNAcentral describes it as "bacterial LSU rRNA". It matches the Rfam family "Bacterial large subunit ribosomal RNA", at positions 984 to 2925 of the family's 2925-position model. Lineage: Bacteria; Pseudomonadati; Pseudomonadota; Gammaproteobacteria; Pseudomonadales; Pseudomonadaceae. The record is from RNAcentral.
ACACACGGCGGGUGCUAACGUCCGUCGUGAAAAGGGAAACAACCCAGACCGCCAGCUAAGGUCCCAAAGUUGUGGUUAAGUGGUAAACGAUGUGGGAAGGCUUAGACAGCUAGGAGGUUGGCUUAGAAGCAGCCAUCCUUUAAAGAAAGCGUAAUAGCUCACUAGUCGAGUCGGCCUGCGCGGAAGAUGUAACGGGGCUCAAACCACACACCGAAGCUGCGGGUGUCACGUAAGUGACGCGGUAGAGGAGCGUUCUGUAAGCCUGUGAAGGUGAGUUGAGAAGCUUGCUGGAGGUAUCAGAAGUGCGAAUGCUGACAUGAGUAACGACAAUGGGUGUGAAAAACACCCACGCCGAAAGACCAAGGGUUCCUGCGCAACGUUAAUCGACGCAGGGUUAGUCGGUUCCUAAGGCGAGGCUGAAAAGCGUAGUCGAUGGGAAACAGGUUAAUAUUCCUGUACUUCUGGUUACUGCGAUGGAGGGACGGAGAAGGCUAGGCCAGCUUGGCGUUGGUUGUCCAAGUUUAAGGUGGUAGGCUGAAAUCUUAGGUAAAUCCGGGGUUUCAAGGCCGAGAGCUGAUGACGAGUCGUCUUUUAGAUGACGAAGUGGUUGAUGCCAUGCUUCCAAGAAAAGCUUCUAAGCUUCAGGUAACCAGGAACCGUACCCCAAACCGACACAGGUGGUCGGGUAGAGAAUACCAAGGCGCUUGAGAGAACUCGGGUGAAGGAACUAGGCAAAAUGGCACCGUAACUUCGGGAGAAGGUGCGCCGGCUAGGGUGAAGGAUUUACUCCGUAAGCUCUGGCUGGUCGAAGAUACCAGGCCGCUGCGACUGUUUAUUAAAAACACAGCACUCUGCAAACACGAAAGUGGACGUAUAGGGUGUGACGCCUGCCCGGUGCCGGAAGGUUAAUUGAUGGGGUUAGCGCAAGCGAAGCUCUUGAUCGAAGCCCCGGUAAACGGCGGCCGUAACUAUAACGGUCCUAAGGUAGCGAAAUUCCUUGUCGGGUAAGUUCCGACCUGCACGAAUGGCGUAACGAUGGCGGCGCUGUCUCCACCCGAGACUCAGUGAAAUUGAAAUCGCUGUGAAGAUGCAGUGUAUCCGCGGCUAGACGGAAAGACCCCGUGAACCUUUACUGUAGCUUUGCACUGGACUUUGAGCCUGCUUGUGUAGGAUAGGUGGGAGGCUUUGAAGCGUGGACGCCAGUUCGCGUGGAGCCAUCCUUGAAAUACCACCCUGGCAUGCUUGAGGUUCUAACUCUGGUCCGUGAUCCGGAUCGAGGACAGUGUAUGGUGGGCAGUUUGACUGGGGCGGUCUCCUCCUAAAGAGUAACGGAGGAGUACGAAGGUGCGCUCAGACCGGUCGGAAAUCGGUCGCAGAGUAUAAAGGCAAAAGCGCGCUUGACUGCGAGACAGACACGUCGAGCAGGUACGAAAGUAGGUCUUAGUGAUCCGGUGGUUCUGUAUGGAAGGGCCAUCGCUCAACGGAUAAAAGGUACUCCGGGGAUAACAGGCUGAUACCGCCCAAGAGUUCAUAUCGACGGCGGUGUUUGGCACCUCGAUGUCGGCUCAUCACAUCCUGGGGCUGAAGCCGGUCCCAAGGGUAUGGCUGUUCGCCAUUUAAAGUGGUACGCGAGCUGGGUUUAGAACGUCGUGAGACAGUUCGGUCCCUAUCUGCCGUGGACGUUUGAGAUUUGAGAGGGGCUGCUCCUAGUACGAGAGGACCGGAGUGGACGAACCUCUGGUGUUCCGGUUGUCACGCCAGUGGCAUUGCCGGGUAGCUAUGUUCGGAAAAGAUAACCGCUGAAAGCAUCUAAGCGGGAAACUUGCCUCAAGAUGAGAUCUCACUGGGAACUUGAUUCCCCUGAAGGGCCGUCGAAGACUACGACGUUGAUAGGCUGGGUGUGUAAGCGUUGUGAGGCGUUGAGCUAACCAGUACUAAUUGCCCGUGAGGCUUGACCAU